This is a long non-coding RNA of Drosophila montana, 784 nucleotides long. RefSeq lists it as uncharacterized. Lineage: Eukaryota; Metazoa; Arthropoda; Insecta; Diptera; Drosophilidae. The record is from RefSeq and is a predicted model, not a curated record. The transcript has 4 exons.
AUAGCGGCACUUUUAAUUCUGACGCCGAAAUUUACCAUCUGUAAAAAAAUAUUCUUAUUAAUUAAAUUUAUUACUAUUUAUGUAGUUAUAUAUAUUUAUAAAUAUAUUUUAUUAUACGAAGAUAAGAAAAAACAAUUUCAAAUGGCUCCAGGAAUCGCAAUCUAAGCGUAGCACAGAAACUAGCGUAGAGGAUGGAAUGAGUGUGGAAACAGACACUGCAAGCGCUACCUUCGAGAAUCCCUCGCAUGGACUGACGACUCGACACGUUUUCCAGCGUUGCGGAAAAAUUAUUUCCAUACGUUUAAGAAAUUUUAUGUGCCACUCGAAUUUAACCAUAAACUUUCACCACAUAUCAAUUUUCUUGUUGGCAGCAAUGGUAGCGGCCCUUGCAUUAGGGCUAGCCGGCAAUGCACGCAACACAAGUCGCGCCAAGUACGACGUUUAUGGUCCACACAUUACGGUCGUACGCCAAAUAUGCUCAGAACAGAUGCGUUUCCAAGAAACUGGACAAAAUACGACGCCUGUUGCUUUAAUUUGGCAUAAGUGUUGAGAAUCCGAUCUUUGUGCUCAAGCUUCGUGCGAAUUUCUCAAAGAGUAGCCUGGAGCCGGCAUCAAACUAUAAAUUGCUUAUGAUGGCGGCACAGCUGGAUUUAUGCGCGGCCAGCUUGACUCAGUGCCACGAGCAGCGCGAGCAUAUUAAUUACGACCUGGAGCUGCUAAAAAAAAAAAAAGGAAAAGUUGAAAAAACUGUGCCACGAAGAAGAGGAAAAGUUGGCAUUAAUUA